AUGGCGAGCAGAGGGCGUGAGUACCAGAGUUUGGAUGUGGAUGUUACUUCAGGGAGGAAGUUGGUUACAAUUUUCAUUUGUAUGAUGCAGCAGUCACAAACUAAUUUACAUAAUUUGUUGGUGUUGCGGUCUCUCCCCAUCUUAACAUUGUCUUCCGCUGCAAGGAGAGGAAAUUUGUGUAUAUCACACCUAUCAGCUACAUCCCAUGGAGAGGAAUUUUGUGUCAGGCAUUGUCAUUGGAGAAGCUUUCACAGGCAUGGCCCUUCUUUCAGUUAUAAGAUUUACAGAUAUACUGAUUCUAAAAGAUUUGAUUCACAGGUUAGUUCUAAUGGAGCGACACGUAUUGUGUUUGUGGUCUUCCAGUUUGCCUUUCUUCCAUGCAUCUGA
This 387-nucleotide ribosomal RNA is filed under the name Triticum aestivum (bread wheat). RNAcentral's name for it is "partial small subunit ribosomal RNA". Lineage: Eukaryota; Viridiplantae; Streptophyta; Magnoliopsida; Poales; Poaceae. The record is from RNAcentral.